UUACGGCCACAUCACGUUGGAACAUGUGUUACCGCAUGAUAACCGAAGUUAAACAACGUCGAGCCUGGUCAGUACUUACAUGGGUGACGGUUUGGGAAUACCAAGUGCUGUAAG
This is a non-coding RNA of Acanthosepion pharaonis, 114 nucleotides long. Lineage: Eukaryota; Metazoa; Mollusca; Cephalopoda; Sepiida; Sepiidae. The record is from the annotation of a GenBank genome assembly.